Small nuclear RNA from Rhinopithecus bieti (black snub-nosed monkey), 129 nucleotides. Lineage: Eukaryota; Metazoa; Chordata; Mammalia; Primates; Cercopithecidae. The record is from Ensembl.
CUGUUGUAUGAAAGGAGAGAAGGUUAGCACUCCCCUUGACAAGGAUGGAAGAGGCCCUCGGGCCUGACAACACGCAUACGGUUAAGGCACUGCCACCUACUACUUCGUGGCAUCUAACCAUCGUUUUUG